CAACCCAUCCACAUCCAGCCCAGCCGCCCACCGUUCGGCGGCUACCUCGCCGCACUCCAACGCCCAGCACGCCGCCCUUUCAGCAAUCAAGGCGGCCGCCAUCUGCAACCCCCUCCCACCACACCUCAAUCCCCAUAUCGAUCUACCGGUUCCUCGUCCUGCCUCAGCACCGCUUCCUCGAUCUGCCUUGGCACCGUUUGGAUCCUUGCAGCGACGAAUUCAUCGUUCUUCAGCUCCAGCACCUACAUCCUGAAGGUGUACGAUCUCAAGGCUGGUAUGGAUCUAAAGGCCCACCGCUUCCCUGAUCGGACUGCUAUAAAUUCUCUCACAUGCAUGCUAGGUGAAACAGCACUGUACCGAUGCAGGGCGGAGACAAAGAGAGAUGUGCAAGGGGUCAACUCCUGCCAUUCACCCUCAUCAAUUCGUAGCACAUCAUGUACUGUAGAUGGCUGAUGGCCGCAUCUAAUUGUAUGAAUAGACCAUGCAUACACAAAUUAUUAAACCAUCACUGAUGUAGAAAGCCCAUAAACCAUGUACGGUUGUGUGUCAGUUUUCGAUGUGCCAAUACAUAAUCCAUCAACCACGUUGAUCCAUUGUAGAUGCGCAUACGCCUAAUGUAGCAAUAUCAUGGCAAACAUCCAUACUAAUAUUGUUUGUUGGCACACUAGCCACCUUGGUUGCUGCUUCUUGAAUUACUUAUUGGGAUGGCACAUGAGGCAAAAUGGUUCUGCUCUGCCAUCACCUAGUUCUUAACAGAAUCUUAGUCGUCACUUGAAUAAUGCUCAGUUUGCAUAAUCUGUAUAUUUUUCAAGUUAAACUUCUCCUGAAUCCAUAUGUCGACAAUGUUAUAUCUGAGUGUGAGUGUGUCUGGACCCAUGGUAUUGUACGCCCUCUCUUUUUUGAGUUAUGAUAAGCAUAUAGUGCAUUGACAUUUUUAUAUAUCUAGGAUGGCGAAGGACAUGUUAACCAUAUACCUGCACUAUGAAGAUGUGAAUCAGGAAACCAAAACUUUACAACGAUCCAUGAUGAGGCGUGAUGUCUCGUAUUAUGAUUUAAUCUUGAUGAUCGAGGAAGUUAGCUUUCACGCAAUUGACUUUCUGUACUAUGCAAAAAAAACUCGUCUAGGCAGCCCAUACUUUGUUCAUAUUUAUGAUCAACGUCAUGUGAUGAAAAUGUUGUCCGACCCUGAGAUUGUGAAGGUUGUCCAUCUGUACGUAUCUAAUAAGAAGGCUGGACAUGAUAUUGCUCCGCCUAGCAACCAAUUUGAUAUUUCUCCAUCUAACCAUCCGAAUGAGAGUGUUGUCUUCCAGGACAAUGGUGUCUCUGCUGAAAGGGCAGGGAAACUUGGCAUGGAAAGGAAGCGAAGUAUCCCUCUUGAGCCAUGCUUAUUACAUAUAUAUAUAUAUUGUUGUCAUUAUUGGAAUUAGAAAUGUAUGAUUGUUCUGCACGACGAUUGCGUAGGUCAAAAAGGUUGAAUGUGAUUCAGGUUACUGACCAACAUGAUGAUGAAGAUGGAGAGUGCAACAAUGGUGAGCAAUUCGCGUCAGGUCAUGAAUCACAAGCAUUGGAAGAUGGAGAGGCUGAAGUUCAGAAUCAAUUACAAGAGGAAGUACGCAAGCGCAAGAAAACAAGUCUGUCAGUUGUCUGGAACAUAUCAAAGGGGCAAAGAAUAGUUGUAAAAUGCAAUGAAAAUAGCCAACCUAUAGGAGAUGAAGGUGCAAUCUUCGGGAAGUUUCUGGGCACGAUAGCUAGAAAUGGAGGGUUUUGCCCACUAAACAUUAAUGAUUGGCGUGAUGUCAAGAAAAAUAGUGGUGUGGAAACAAUAUUGCCGUGUGUACAGACAAAGUUCGUGUAUCCUAGAUCAUGUGAAAAAUGGAUACUCAAGUCAAUUGCAAUAGACUGGAGGAAAUAUAAUUCUAGUUUGAAAGAUGCUUUCUUCAAAUCUGCCAUUGAAAAAAAUCCAAACAUCAAGCGAAAGGCUUUGUAUAAGCUCUGUCCAGAAGAUGUGGACAAGAUCAAUGGCGUGGGCUUGUUAAAUUUUGGAAGUCGAAAAAAGGAAGGGCCCUUGCUGAGAAGAAUAUAAUUAGUCAUUCCCUCGUGAAGAAUUCACAUAAUGCUGGCUCAAGGAGUUAUGUUUGUUGAGCUGAAGACAUGAGACAAGCUGAUCCUGAAAAGAAACAACCACACAGAUCAACGGUUUAUUUAGCAACUCAUAAGAAGAAGGAUGAUGACAAUGCUAGCAAUAAGGAUAGAAACGAGUGCCUGGAUCGAUUGGAUAAUCUAAUAACUGAACGACUAGAGUUGGCACAAAAUUUGAAUGGAAGAGUCGCAUGCGAAGGUGACGCCCUAUAGGAAGUAUUAGGGAAAUAAAAGAUUGGACAAGUGCAUGGCAUGGGUUUGCUUCGAACUCCUAAACAAGUCUACGGCCGGACACCACGUUAUCUAAGGAACAUCAAUAUGACUACAACUAAUGGGUCACCAUACAAAGUUGAACAUGAUCCUUGGGAGGAAAUAGCAAAGACGAAGGAACAAAUAAAAAGGAAAGACCAAAUUAUUGAACAUAUGAAAAACAAAGAAGGCUAUGUGAAUAAUGGACUAGAAGAGGAAAACCUCCAAUCAAAUGUUAAUGGUAUUUCUCGGUUACCAAUACUACAUGGUAAAAGAAAGAGAAUCCAAUGCGACGGACCUGUUGAGGCACACUCGUCUAUGCAACAUGACAUAUGUGACGAUAAUAGUUUAUGAUCUUCGCACGAAAAGGCUGGCGAGCAUGAUGUCAACCAAUUAAAAAUUCAACUAAAUUCAUCAUCGCCACAAGACAUUGUUACUGAUUCUGUGUUAGAGGUGAGGAAAACGAGGGAUCUUACCCACACCCACACCAUGGCACUACAACUGAACACCCACACCCAGCUCCCGCCAAAAAAAGGAGUACUUCUUUCAUCAAGUUAAAGAUCCGACCAUGGUUUAGUGCAUCCAAAUUCCCAACGCAGAUCACAUUAAAAUGUCUCCUUGGCAAAUGGAUUUUGUUACAAAAUUUGCUCAAUCUAUUAUAUGCAAGUAAUGGAUAAAUGUAACCAAGCAUGAGCAAGUGAGUUGACCUUGGGCAUUGGACUUUGAUGUCAGGUUGAUUCCAAAGUAGUUUUAAAGACUUCAACUUAUCCCAACAAGCGAAAUGUUGCAUAUGGUACUAUUCGGAGUACUAAUCCAAGAACUAAGGCUGGUGGUAUUGAGUUGGGUGCUGAAUUUGCCCUUGUGCGCAUAGAUAAACCUAUUCUUGAUAGUGAGGAGUUGCUAAGGGAAGUUUCUGUUUGCAAGACAAUUGGUGAGGCUUUCUCUUUGGGAUACUUAAUUGCGAAGCCUUCAACUUUUGUUCAAGAGAAGGAUAGUUGAGUUGGAGUUAAAUUCUUGGGUGAAGAAGCAAAUACAAUUUGAAGAUUUUAGCUACCAAUAGUAAUAGUUUUACGUUGAUAGAUUGAAAAAUGUAAUAACAUUUAGAAGAUCUUUUUCUUUCGUCGAACUGACGCAAGUGCUAUGCUGUAAUAUUCUCCAUAGUUCUGUUUUCUAUGCUCAAAACGAUAUGAAUGAUAUCUUUAUU
This is a long non-coding RNA of Hordeum vulgare subsp. vulgare (domesticated barley), 3592 nucleotides long. RefSeq lists it as uncharacterized. The record is from RefSeq and is a predicted model, not a curated record. NCBI's taxonomy places the organism in Eukaryota, Viridiplantae, Streptophyta, Magnoliopsida, Poales, Poaceae. The transcript is spliced from 12 exons.